UCGGCUAGACUUGUUAAAAUUUAAACUUUAUUUUGUUUUAAUUAUAAUUGUUUGUUUAGUUUUUAAAUAAUUAUAGGUUAAAUUUUAAUUAUUUUAUGUGUAUAAUUAUAAUUUUAAAUUUUGAAAAUCGAAUUAGAUUAGUACCUAAUUAGUCAAAAGUUAAAAGAGCAGAAGUAAAGUAAAAUUUAAACUGAAAGAAUAUUGGCAGAUUUUCUAAAUUAUCUUUGGAGGUUGAGUAAUAAUUGAGAACCCUCAUUAACUACUUUUUUAGUGGUCUCAUGUAUGAUCGUUUAUUAUAUGCUUAAGGUAUAUAAUUAAAAAUUAUUUAUUUAUAAAAAUAGAUAUAUAUUUGGUUUAUAUAAAAGUAAUAUUUGACCUACAAUAAUUUGUAAUUGUGAAUCUACUUUUUUGUGAAGUAGUGAAAAUGUAAAAGACAGUAAAAAAAUUUUUAUGGUUUUUUGAAGAUUAUUUAGAAGUGGUACAAAUCAUCCAUCAAUUGCCCAAAGGGGAGUAAGUUGUAGUAAAGUA
RNAcentral lists this non-coding RNA (528 nucleotides) under Uncinaria sp. SAN-2011. The record is from RNAcentral. Lineage: Eukaryota; Metazoa; Nematoda; Chromadorea; Rhabditida; Ancylostomatidae.